This 730-nucleotide ribosomal RNA is filed under the name uncultured archaeon RSS50-5. Its description in RNAcentral is "bacterial SSU rRNA". It matches the Rfam family "Archaeal small subunit ribosomal RNA", at positions 126 to 857 of the family's 1478-position model. The record is from RNAcentral.
AUAACCCCGGGAAACUGGGGAUAAUACCGGAUGGGUCACUACUUCUGGAAUGGGUGGUGACUGAAAGGCGACGCCCUUGGAUGGGUCUGCGGCGGAUUAGGUUGACGCCGGUGUAACGUACCGGCGUGCCUGUAAUCCGUACGGGUUGUGGGAGCAAGAGCCCGGAGAUGGAUUCUGAGACACGAAUCCAGGCCCUACGGGGCGCAGCAGGCGCGAAAACUCUAACAAUGCAGGCAACUGCGAUAGGGGGACAUCGAGUGGCACCCACCUUGGGUGCCUGUCCCACCGUCUAAAAAACGGUGGUUAGCAAGGGCCGGGUAAGACCGGUGCCAGCCGCCGCGGUAAUACCGGCGGCUCGAGUGGUGGCCGAUAUUAUUGAGUCUAAAGGGUCCGUAGCCGGCUUUGCAAGUCCCCCGGGAAAUCCAGCGGCUUAACCGUUGGGCUUCCGUGGGAUACUACAUUGCUUGGGACUGGGAGAAGUUAGAAGUACUCCGGGGGUUAGGGGUGAAAUCCUUUAAUCCUCCGGGGAACACCGGUGGCGAAGGCGUCCUACCAGAACAGGUCCGACGGUGAGGGACGAAAGCUAGGGGCACGAACCGGAUUAGAUACCCGGGUAGUCCUAGCCGUAAACGAUGCUCGCUAGGUGUCGCAACAGUCGUGAAUUGUUGCGGUGCCGUAGGGAAGCCGUGAAGCGAGCCACUUGGGAAGUACGACCGCAAGGUUGACACUU